CAUUUCCACGUAUCAAACAAUUGGAACACCCAAAUUGCAUUGUGAGGCGAUGAUAAAUCUGGGAUUGCAGCCAACACACACACAACACAAGGAGAUCAAACAUAAACAGCGCCGCUAACAAAUAAUUGUUUAUCAUUUGUUUUGUGACGUGCACGACGGGUGUGCGAAUUAUGCACUGGACAGUGGAAAUUGUCUCCCCUUCCCGUCCUUUGCGGCGUAGCCUGAUAAUGACAUUACCCAGCAGCAACGCCGCAUGACGUCACGCAGGAGGGCAGCAGCAGCAGUUUAAUAUACAGCUAAAGAUAUAGGAAUUAUAUUGAAAUUAUAGAUGACAAAAAUCUGAAAUACAAAAAUAGACAGCUUGAUGAACCUGAGUGUCCCACUAGAGUAUUCUAGUAUUUCAAAAUGAAAUUGAAUUCUUGUACUAUUCAGAUUUGAAUAUGGAUAUCGGCGGAAACCCGGCCAAGCUUGAGCACCUUGUGGCGGAGCAGCAGCUAGCGGAACAGCAGCAGAAGCAACCGCAACAGCAGCGCACCAGCAGCAGAGCAGCACUCACCUCGAACCCGGUCAUCAAAUUGAAUAACAAUAUUUUUGCAAGAAGCAAUUCAAUUUGCAUUGUUUGCGCAGUCAAGUGACGGGCCGCAGGUGAAAAUGGUAGCCACAUCUCUCUCUCUCUCUCGCUCUGCCAUUUUGUGUAUUGCUUUCGUUGAAUCUUUAACCCAACCUCGAAGCCGGAGGCAACACUUGCUGCUGCUGCUGAUGUCGUUGUCGAUGUUGUUGUUGUCCGCCCGCCCAGAGAGUGCGCAAUUUGACGGGCAAAUGGUUUUUUUUCCACUGUAAUUACCAAGAGAGUUUUCUCGUUGCCUUUGUCGGUCACUUGGCGUCUACUAAUUAUCACAUUUUUACUCAUUAAAGUCACAUUUGCCUGCCGCACGGCGGCCCAGGAUGCGUCGCUUAGGAUGCGAGAAGACCUCUACUACUACUACAUACCUUUUGGCUAAUUAUAGGCCAGAUCCUUUUGCGUGGGCAAUCAACCUUUCAACCGUUUUGCUACUGCUGCUGCUGUUGAUGAUGAUGAUGGUGAUUGAUUAGCAGAUGCUCAGGCUGCAGCAAAAGCAAUAUCAGGGAUGAGCUUAACCUAAGCAGAGCUGGCUAACUGCUAGAGGAACUGAACUCUCUUUAAGCAUAUGCAGCGCGUGCCAGAUAAAACAAACAAACAAACAAACACACACACAUCGAGGCAGCUGGAGACGAAGUUGCUUGCAGCUAGAAACUGGAGCAGCAGUGAAACAACAAAUCGAAAACUGAUUUGGAGCGGAAGUUCGUUUGCACCUUUCUGCAGUUUCCUGUGUGCCGACCAGCAAACAACAACAGCAACAACAACUCGAGACUAUUCAAUGCACUACAAAAUACACAUACAGAGAAGACUUGCGCUGCUUUGACGUUUUGGCCUUUGACGCCGCGUCUUUUGUCUUGGCCAAGCAAUGGCUUUCAAUUGUAUUGCAAAAGCUAUAUACUACAUAAGAAUGCCUGUUAUAUAGAUUAAGAUUGCCCCUCAAUUGUGCACUGCAAGGAUAUGUGUGCGCAUGCAAAGCACCGUCAAGGAGCAGCUGUCGUCGUCUACUUCGUCUGCUGUGUUUGAUUUGCGAUUCGUGGCUGGCGGAAAUGAAAUGACACGCAAGGCACAAAGGCACACACAGAGAGCGACCCACUCCAGACACACACACACACACACACAUCAUUGUUUGGCACAAGAUUGGCACAAAAAAAAAAUGUGGAAAUCAAACGAAAUAAAAUAAGACUUCAUUCCACUUACGCAUUGUGCCCAAGGGGCGUGCCAGCCCCCGAACUCUAUUACGACUAUGUGUAGUUUUCCGGUCGACUGCCGCACACAAGCGGCAAUCAGGGCCAGCAGCAGCUGCCGCUUGCCGCAACAUGUUGCAACAAGGUGCAAACAUGCAGAGCGCGUGUCUGCAUCCUAGACGCAAAUACGUGAAGCGAACUACGCACUUGAUGUCACCUCAUUACCAACGAAAUUCGGCUGCUCUUGGAUUCAUUUUGCUUUUUGGGGGCACAAGUUAAUGAUGCGCACACCGCGCGCGCUUCCGUCGCGUUUGUUUGUGUCACAAUUAUGCGAGGCACUUGAGCUUGAAGCGCAGUCUGCAGGGCCAGGGCCAUGGUCAGAGAGCCACCUUCAAAAAAUAAAACUGCUGACCAGCAGCAGUUUCAUUGACCUCUGUACUGCCAAAAAAAAAAAAAAACAAGCAACAGAAAUUAGGGCUGUGGAUGUGGAUGCGACGGUGUUUUUAAUGCCGUCAUAAAUGUCAGGUGCGCUGCCCAUUUAAAUUUAUUCAACAUAAUUAGUUGUGGCCAUUAUUAUUAUUACAGCGGAGCGUCAACUAAUUGCAUUUGGAAAUCGUGGCAAUGACUAAUGAGACCCACGAGGACACUGGCCAAACAUUGUUUAAGAUAAAUGUUUGGCAUUUACUAUAUACGCAGGAGGA
Molecule: long non-coding RNA, 2504 nt
Organism: Drosophila sulfurigaster albostrigata
Lineage: Eukaryota; Metazoa; Arthropoda; Insecta; Diptera; Drosophilidae
Exons: 4
Source: RefSeq, a predicted model, not a curated record